Molecule: long non-coding RNA, 9497 nt
Organism: Gasterosteus aculeatus aculeatus (three-spined stickleback)
Lineage: Eukaryota; Metazoa; Chordata; Actinopteri; Perciformes; Gasterosteidae
Source: Ensembl
GGCACCAAUAACACUGGGGGGUAUUCUGUCACAGCCCCCUCUGCGAUGCUGCCACACGGGCAGCUCCAAAGUCUUACAAUUCAAGUGUGAUUUUCAUUUUUUAUUUUUUUUUUAUCUUGGAGAAGUUCAACCUGUGUAUUACACACAUCAGGAAAGAAGAUUGUGGUGCCCAAGUGGAAAUGGAAUAAUUGACUUUGUCACGUAAUAACUGGAUGCUGACUGGACUCCAACUGAAGCUGUGAUUUUCCGUUCACUUUUGCAUGAGGAGGCUUUGCUCCAAAUAUCAAGGAUUAUAGCUGAAAUUGUCUCCAUAAUACCAUGGCGGAAGGAGCUGCCUCCUCCUCCUCCUCCACAGCCAGUGGGUCCAGUGGAGCAGCUCCACCACAGACGAUCCCCGUCAAGUCCAAAGGUCUGGGCCUCCUCGGGAAGCUGAAAGUGUCCGCGGAGCUGCUGGUGGCUCUGGCUGCUCUCCUGUCCUGGGUGGUGGUCGGAGUAGUGAUGUUUGACUUUGUGGAGUACAAGGCAGUCCCUGACAUUCAGCAAAUCGUUUCGGACCCCAUUGGAGCUGUAAACGACGCCGUCGAGGAAGCAUCCAGUCUACUCAAUAAGUUUCAGGAAUGUGCACCCGAUUUAAGUGACCCCACGUCCGCUGCCACCUACGUAGCUAAAGAAAUAUCUGAUGCAAAAGAUGGAUUUGUUCGCUAUUUUUCCGAUGAGGAAGGGAACUUCUACCUCAGCUAUGUUGACCCUGUGAUCAUCGGUAGACAAGCUUUCCAUUCGACCAAUGACUUAAUGCGUGGAGUCGUGGGCACCUUCAAGGACACAUUGUGCGCCAUUGUAGACGCCGCAUUAAAUACUAUAUCGGAUGUAAAUAAAGGAGAAGUUGACCUUAGCUGCAUUGACCCUGUGGUCGUAGGCCGAGGUGUCUUCAAUGUUACUAAUGGGUUUGUGUGUGGAGUGGGGAGCUACAUCCGGGAUGUGCUGUGUGCCCUUCUGGACACAAUUCUGGAUGUAGUGAAAGGAACCUCAGGAACCGUGGAUACUCCCUCCGUGGACCCUGUUGUAGUUGGCAGAAAUGUCUUCAGUCUUACAAAUGACACCGUGAGUAGACUAGUGGGCUACAUCCAGGACGUACUCUGUGCCAUCGUAGACAGUGUGCUGGAUUUAACUAAAGGAACCACCGACACAAGCUUCAUGGACCCUGUGGUUGUUGGUAGAAAUGUCUUCUGUGUUACUAAUGACUUUCUGAGUGGAAUAGCCGGAUACAUCCAGGAUGUGCUCUCUGCCGCCUUGGACGUGAUACUGGACACAGUAAAAUAUCUGCAGCAUGCUGUGGGAUUCAGCCCGACGUCAGCUCUAAAGAGAACAGCAGAAAUCAGCACAGAGCAGAUGAACACGCUUGUGAGCUACGUCUCCACGCUGAUUGGUCAACAAGACAUCAUGCCAGAAGUUUCCAUUGACCCCAUGAAAGUGGUUGAAGAUGCUCUGUUGGAGGCCUCGGACAAGAAAGAUUUGUUCGUGGCUUACAUGUCGAGCAUGCUUGUUGCUGAUCGAGGAGAACCUGUUGUAAAUGUAGUAUCUGAAAAAGAUGAAGCUGUAGCUCUCCCAUCUAAUUUGAAUAUGUUACGAAGAAAAGGAGAAUUUCUUCCGUCUUUGGGAAAAGUUACAGAGAUCAUGCAAGCUGCCAAAGAUGCUGCUGCUGCUUCUGCUGCUGAAGCCCCAGACUCAAAGAUCAAGGAGGAGGAUGGAGACGUUUCCACUGAAGCUGCCUACGAAGUGGACGUGGAGGAGGAGGAGGAUGUGAAACAUAUCAACCUUGAAGAAACAGAACAUGAACCACCAGCCAUCAAUGAAGGAGACAAGGUCGACAGAGAGGAGGAGGAACAUGAGGAGAUUCAAACAGAGGAGGAUGCGAUUUAUGAGGCGGAAGAAACAGAGGAUGCUGAAGGAGAAGAAGGUGGAGAUAUUAUUAAAACAGCCACUGAAGAAGAACAAGUAGAUGAACCAAGUGAGGAGCAGGAAGAGGAGAUCAAAGUUGAAGAUGUUUUGGCGAAAGAGGAGAAGGAAACACAUACAGAAGAGGAUGCAUUAAAAAAAGAUUUGGUAGUGGAAGUGGAGGAGGAGACCAUAUCUGAAGACAUUUUGGUAAAAGAGAGGGAGGAGGACGAAGAGGAGGAGGAGGAGAAAAAAACUGAAGAUGUUUUCGUAGACGAUGGUGAGGAAGAAGACGACAGAAAAACUGAAGUGGAAGUUGAGGAGGUGGAGGAUACUAACAUUGAAGAACACACCAUAGAAGAUGAUGAGGAGACAAAAACAGGACUUCUGGUAGAGGAGGAGGAGGAAGUGGUGGUGUUGGUGGUGCAGGAGGUCAAGCAUGAGGAGGACGGGGAGGUACAAAAUGAAGAGAUUUUAGUAGAAGAUGGUGAGGAAGAAGAGGAGAGUAAAACUGAAGUGGAAGUGGAGGAGACUAUAAUGGAGGAACAUGCAGGAGAGGAUGAAACAAAUAUAGAACUUGUGGCAGAAUUAGAGGAGGAGGAGGAGGAGGAAGAGGAGGAGGACGACGUGUUGAUAGGAGAUGGUGAGGAAGAGAAGGAGACAAAAACAGAAGAUGCAGUUGAAUAUUUGGAAGACAAUAAAGAGGAGGAGGAGGAAGACGGCGAGGACGAAGAGACAACAACAGAACUUGUAAUUGAAAACGAGGAGGAGACCGAAUCUGAAGAAGAUUUGGCAGAGGCUGGGAUAGAUGAUGAGAAAAAAACAGUAGAAGUUCAAGUAAAAUCAUUGGAAGAUUUUGAUGAGGAGGAGAACGAAGAUGAAGAUCUUCGUGUUGAUGAAGGAAGCGACAAAGAAAUAAAUGAAAUUACUGAUAUCAACGAUCAGCUUUCUAAAACUAACCAGGAACUAGGAGCUUUAGAUGCUGAAGAUAAAAAGAAUUUAGAGGAGGAGGAAGCAGAAGAACCGUUCAGAGUGGAGACGACGGAAGUGGACAAAGGAGAUGAAGAAGAAGAGCCAUCUGCCCAACGUCUUGAUUUUGAAAUUAUAUCAUCUAAAACACCAAAUAAUGCAGGUGUCAUACCCGAAUCCAACAACGUUAUAGAAGAGGAAACAACAGUCAAUGAAUACUCUGACAUCAUCAACGAACGUGAUGAAAACAAUGAUGAGAUUGAAAGCGUGAAAUCUGAAUCUGAACAAAAAAGGGAGGUUCAUGUUCCCUUUGAGAGACUGAGAAGAGUCGGCUCCAGAGCUGCUCACAAAGAGGAACACCUUCACAAACGUGGGAAAGUUCUCAAAGCGGCAAAGGAAAGACGAAAAGAAGUUAAAGACGCCAUUAUCAAAGACCUCGAGGAGGAGAAAAAAGAGGGAGCCAAACUUGAGGAAAUCAUUGAAAAGAAACCAAAAGAAGAAAAGCUAAAGGAAGAGGCUAAACCAUUUGAGAAGAAACCACUGAAGCACAAAGAAGAGACUAAAAAGAAGGAAGAACCCAAUAAACCACCUAAAGGAGAGAAAAGAGUGAAGCAUACUAAGGAGGAGAAAGAAACAAAACAGGUGACAGAAGCGAAGAAAACCAAUAAAACAGAAAGACGCCAAGAAACCAUCUAAAACAGAACAAGAUGUCAUGAAACCAUCCACUGGAGUCAAGAAACCACUAAAAGAAGACAAAGUAGUCAAGCUACUACUUAAAGAAGAGAAAGAGGUUCAGAAAGAAACUAAAGCAGAGAAAGAGGAAAAGAAAUCAUUAAAAGGAGUCAAAAAAAUACCUCAAGAUGAGAAAGAGGAAAGGGAAGUUAAGAAAGCAUCUAUAGAGGAGAGAGAAGUCGAGAAACCAUCUCAAGGUGAGAAGGAGGUCAAGAAACUACAUGAAGAAGAGAAAGAAGUCAGGAAACCAAUUCAAGAAAAGGAAGCAGUAAAGAAAUCAUCUCACAAAGUGAAAGAAGUCCAGAAACAAACUCAAGCAGAGAAAAACAUCAAGAAACCAUCUAGAGAAGAGAGGUAUGUGAAGAAAAACGACAAAAAAGAAGUGAAGAAACCACCUAUAGAGGAGAAAGAGAUCACGAAAGCAUCUCCAGAAGUGAAAGAGAUCAAGAAACCAUCUGAAGAACAGACAGAGGUCAAGAAGACUAGACAAGAAACACAAUACAAGAAAGAAGAGAAAGAAGUCACAAAAGCAUUUGAGGAAGAGAGAGAAGUCAAGAGACUAUCAAGAAAAGAUAAUAAUGUUGAGAAACCAUCUGAAGAAGAAAAAGAAGUCAUAAAAAUCCCUGGACAAGAGAAACAAGUCAGGAAACCAAUUGCAGAAAAGAAAGAGGUAAAUAUAUCAUCUCAAGAAGAGAAGGAACCUCAAAAACCAACUCAGGCCCUGAAGAAAGUCAAGAAACGAUCGAAAGAACAGACGACGGUCACGAAACACACUAGACAAGAAAAACAAUGCAAUAAACCCACUCGAGUUGAGAAAGUAGUUGAAAAAAAACCUGAAGAGGAGAAAGAAGUCACAAAACCACGUGAAGAGAGCAAAGUCAAGACACCAUCCAGAGAGGAGAAAAGAGUCAAGACGCCACUAAAAGAAGAGAAACAAAUCAAGAAAACAUCUAAAGAGGAGAAACCAUUCAGGGAAACUUCUAAAGAAGAGAAAGAGGGCAAGAAAACACCUAAAGAACUGAAAAAAGUCAAGAUUCCACACAGAGACGAGAAAGAGCUCAAGACUCCACCCAAAGAGGAGAAAAAGAUCAAGACACCACCGAAAGGAAGGAAAGAAGUCAAGACUCCACCCAAAGAGGAGAAAGAAGUCAAGACACCACCCAAAGAGGAAAAAGCAGACAAGAAACCACUUAAAGAAAAGAAAGAGGUCAAGACUCCACCCAAAGAGGAGAAAGAAGUCAAGACACCACCCAAAGUGGAGAAAGAAGUCAAGACACCACCCAAAGAAAAGAAAGAAGUCAAGACUCAACUUAAAGAAAAGAAAGAGAUCAAGACUCCACCCAAAGAGGACAUAGAAAUCAAGACACCACCCAAAGUGGAGAAAGAAGUCAAGACACCACCCAAAGAGGAGAAAGCAGACAAGAAACCACUUAAAGAAAAGAAAGAGGUCAAUACUCUACCCAAAGAGGAGAAAGAACUCAAGACACCACCCAAAGUGGAGAAAAAGGUCAAGACACCACCCGAAGAGGAGAAAGAAGUCAAGACACCACUCAAAGAAAAGAAAGCAGUCAGCACUCCAUCCAGAGAAAAGGGAGAAGUCAAGAUACUAUCUAACCGAGGAAAAGGAUUAAAGAAUUCGCCAAAAGAAGAAAAAGAAGCCAACAAACCAUUGAAAGUACAUAGAAAUGUAUACAAACCAUCAAGGGCGGAGAGGGAAGUUAAUACAUCUUCUUUAAAAGGAAGAGAAGCCAAGAAACAACUUAAAGAAGUUAAAGAAGCAAUAAAACCAUCUCAAGAAGAGAAAGAGGUGAGGAAACAUCUUAAAGAACAGAAAGAAGAGAUAAAACCUCUGAAAGAAGAACUAACUGAAAUGAAGUCUCACAAAGAUGAGAAUAAAUCACUCAAAGAAAGGCUACAAUUGAAACUGAAAAAGCCUCAAGAAGAAAUUGUAGCGAAAGUAAUGAAGCCCAAAGAACUGAAGGAAGCAGGGGAGCCUUCCAAGGAAAGGAAAGAAUUGAAGAAACAUUCAAAAGAAAAGGAAAUAAGGGAGCCACCGAAGGAGGACAAAGAAAUCAAGAGACCUACAAAAGAAAAAGAGAAAAAAGAGGUUAAGAAUCCAUCUGAAGAUGACAAAGAAGUAAAAUACUUAAAGAAAGGGACGGAAGACAAGAAGCCGUCUCUGAGGGAUAAAAAAGAAAAAAUACUUUCAGUGGAGGAAAAAGAAGUCAUCACACCCAUAAAGAAAGAAAGAGACCCAAAGAAAUCUUCAAUGGAGAAAAACCAAGCAAAACCUUCCAAAGAAAAGGCAGUUCCAAAAAAGCUCUCCAGAAGAAAACAAGCACAAGAGAAACCUUCAAGAGAUGGAAAGGAAUCAACAAUACUCUCUCGAAAGGAAGAAAAUGAACCAAAGAAGCUCUCUGAAGAACAAGACCCUGAGAAACCCUCCAAAGACCAGAGAGAAGUGACUCCCAAAGAGCAAAAGGAAGCAAAGAAAAUAUCUAUUGAAAACGUAGAACAAACAAAACCCUCCACAGAGAAAGAAAUCAAAAAGACCCAUAAAGACCAACCUGUCCAGAUUGGUGAUACUAAGAAAGAUGCUGGACCCAAAAAGGCUGAGAGGAGGAUUAAAGUAGUCAAGGAAGAGGUUGCAUCUGUUCUGAAGAAGGAACACCGUAAUGUCACAAACGCAGCUGUGGAACCCAAGAGGGCAGUCGAGGUGCUGAAAGCUGCCAAAAAGCAGAGAGUUCUUAUCCCGAAAAAGGAGCACAUGAUUGUGACAAAGACAGAGGUUCCUGAAACUCCUAAAGUGAAAGCCAAACAAGAAUCUGCAAAGAAAGUGGCAGCUCAUAAAGAGCCCGUACAGGAACCAAAGGAAAAAAUCACACCUACGCGUGUUAAACGAGAUGAUGAACCUAAGAAGGCUGCACAGAGGAUUAAAGUACUUCUCAAUGUUACGAAAGCAGAGAUUUCUAAACACCCUGACUUGAAAGCCAAACCAGAACCUGCGAAGAAAGACGUUUCAAAGGACAAAGCAAAAGCGGGUCCUGCUAAGAAAGAAGCUGUUGCUCUAAAAGAAAAGGCCAAAACAGUCAACAUGAAAAGAGAGGUCACAGUGCCAAAAAAGGAAGUCAAAGCAGCUUCUGCAAAAAAAGAAGCUGCUCUAAAAGAAAAUACAAAGACAAAAACCUCACAGAAAGAACCUGAGACCAAGCUGCUUCUCGCCAGAAAAGCAAUUAAGUUAACAAAGGAGACGCCUCAGCCACCUCGUGGAAAGAAAGCUCCUUCUAAAACUGAGGAUGACACCAAGGGAAAUGUCAAAUCCCUCCUCAGGAAGAAAGAACUGGAGACUCCUAAAGAAAAGAGCAAACUGGCUGCAGUGAAGAAAGCACCCGAGGUUCUAAAAGAAAAGGUCAAAACCUCUGCUGCAAAGAAAGAGGUCAGAGUUCGUAAAGAAAACGCAGAGCCUGUAAAACAAGAAAAAACAUUUGAGAAGAGGACAACCAAGGAGGAGAAAGCUAAAGAGGAUAGAGUUCUUAAAGAAAUACAAGAGCCAGCAAAGAAAGAAAGAUCUACUGAGAAGAAAGCUGCCAUGGAGGAGAAAAUAAAAGCUGGGCCUUCUGUAUCAGACAGCUUCCAAAUUGAAGAAGAGCUGCCCUACUUCCAGUGUUUCUUUUUGGACGAGGACGAGGCCCAAUUUCCUUUCCACGCCUUCUCGCCGAUGCAUAUUUGAGGCUUCAGUCUAAAUCCGGUCUGAGGUUUACAAUUUUUGUCAAUUUUACUGAUAAUGACCUGGUCACACCCUGCGCUGCUGAACGCAGCCUGCUGUUGGUUCUCACGAGAAAACCACGAACAGCAAAGGAUGAUGGGGGAUUUAAUGUGACGGUCGGACUUUCUUUCACUUCCAGAUUUGGUUGAGCUCUCGUACCGAAUACAUGCAGCCGGUGUCAUUCCUUUCCGUUUUGUUAUUUAUUUUGUGUGUUCAAUGGUUUUUAAAGGUGGAUAUCUUGGUGGAAUGGUGGAACUAUGUCGAGUAUUACCUCCGUGGAUCAUUCAUUUAGAUCCCCACAGCAACACAAGCAAAUGCAUUUUUUUUAGAAGGAGCACAAGGCUUUAAACAAGAUACAAAAUGGCCACAAUUGUGGAUUAAAGGUGGACAGAGCGUCGAUUCCCAGCGUUUACUUGAAAAGUGGUUCGUAGAGAAAUAGUAAGAAGAUUGUUAUGCACCAUAUGUAAUUUCAACUUUGUCCUUCAUCGCAUUGUUUAUGGGCAGAUUUUUAGUGCGUAUUUUAUUUUGCUUUUAAAGCCCUGGAAUUAACAAUUGGGCAUUUGUAGUGUUUGUUUAUUAUUCCAUUAUUCUUGAUAUCAUUUCAUUAAUUUCAAGGAAACCUUGUUUUUCACGUUCCUCUAUCUUACGAGAGAGAUGUAUUUUUCCGUUUUUGACUACGGCCUGUAAUGUGUCUAAAGGAAUGACCACGCAUUGUAUAUGAGAGCUCCCAGACGUACUGAUGAAACGCUACCUAUAAAGUCUUAUUUAACUGUGGACAUAUGCACACGCUCCUCAUUUGGGCGUUGGCGCUGAAAACGAGCAUUGCCUCGCCUGUACCUGUCAGAAUGAAUGAAGACGUGUUGUAAAAGGAUUUUCCCAACUGCUCACUCGGUUCCAAUUCCUUGACUUUAGGCGUUUGAAUUUGAUGAAACUUGUUGAAGUCAAUAAGAGAGAGCGAGUAAAAGAAUUGUCUCGCACAGUUGCACUGGUCACUCGAUAGACCAAAAAUGUGUGCAAAUAUGUAAAUAGCCUACAUGAUAUAUUGCAGCAACCUUUUGAACAGGUUCCUAACAUAUGACAUUUUAUUCAUGCAUAACUUAUAUUACAUGCAAAGGAUUUGUAUUACCUUUAACAAAUAUCCUGUGCUGUACAGUAUGGGUGACAUUAUUUCAGAUUGAUUUUGAAUACAAUUACUGGUCAGAACUUGAAUCCAAGUUAUAUUUUUGAAAUCUCUGAAGAGUGAUCGUGUGAAAGAUGAUGACAAGAGCUGCGAUAAUCAGCUCUGCAGGUUUUGAAGACCUGGAUGUUGCUACGGUGGUUAUGUUGGUAUCAAAGUGAAACAUUGAGAAGAAACAUUUACACAUUUGAAAAUAUCUGCACAUCAUGUGGCUACACUUUAAAUGGAUGCAGAUGGCGUCACAUGAUCUCGGAUGUAAACUGGUACGUGGACUCUCAGCCCGUACAAGCUGUUGUUUACCUGUGCCUCUUUAAAUUCUGCUCCAUAUGCCGCAUAGAAGACAGUUCGUGGAGCUUGUGCCACUUAUCCCAAGUCCACUCAAAUCCCCUUAUCUGUUUGGUUAGAAUAAUAGUCCAUGCAGUCGAUGGGGCAUAGGUCCUUUUUCCAAAAGUCGCAGCCUGCUGUCUUUGCAUGUGUAUUUUGAGAUGCAGAAUUGGAGCAAAAUAUUGCUGCUAGAAUGACAAAUGGCGUUUUGAUUUGAGUGGACAAUAGAGGAAUAUUUGUUUUUAUGGUUUGAAUUGAAUUUGACCUGAAAUGGACUUGUCAGGAUGUGCAAUACAGAAUUAAUUUAUGAAUAUCUGAUUGAUCAGAACCCUGUACAUUUAUCUUUUAGUCCUUGAAUGAAAUAUGCAUGAAGUGUGUUCGUGUUUAAUGUUUUUUGUGAUGGUUUUUACCUCCUUUGAGAAUAGCAACACAUUGGAAGUUAUCGAGUCACAUUUGAAAUAAUCUUAUUGUAAAUUGUUAAAUAAGUGGCAAGAUUGAUCGAUUUAUCAUCACUACUGCAACUGCUUUAACUGUAACCAAACGAAUGUGCCUAUGUGAAGAGUAGCAAUGUGACAUUAAAACAUAGCAAGUGUU